GGCUAGAUAACAUAAUGGUAAUGUAAAGGACUGCAAAUCCUUUAAUGACGGUUCGAAUCCGUCUCUAGCUU
Phytophthora nicotianae (black shank of tobacco agent) is the source of this 71-nucleotide transfer RNA. It matches the Rfam family "tRNA". From Rfam's summary of the family: Transfer RNA (tRNA) molecules are approximately 80 nucleotides in length. Their secondary structure includes four short double-helical elements and three loops (D, anti-codon, and T loops). Lineage: Eukaryota; Oomycota; Peronosporomycetes; Peronosporales; Peronosporaceae. The record is from Rfam.